AGCAAAAAUUCGGAAACUCAAAAGCCAGGCCAAAACUGGCCGUUCGUUGCCUUUCGCAGCUGUCAGAACCAUAACUCAGUGUCAAGUCGAGACUUUGCGGCUAUAUCUGGAUAUCUGAAUAUCUGAAUACCAGUAUCUGCGUGGCCACAAUGCCCCCUUUCGCCCCCUCCCUCCACCGCAUCGUUCCGCUUUCGAAAAGACAAAAAGCAAUUGUUCAAUCGGUUGAGGUUGAGCCGCAGGGAGACCGGCGAAAUAGAUUUGCAAACAAUUUGCAACAAUUCAAUCAAAAAAACUUUAAACGCAAAUACAGAACGGACAGACAUCAGCGGGUGGCCAGCAGUCUGGUGGGUGGUGGAAGGUAGAAGGUGGAUGGUGGAUGGUGGAUGGCGGAUGGCAGGCGGUCCGGCUUGACGGCCAUCAGAUAACUCACUCACCUGGUGGUCCGACGUCCGCCAUCCGACGUCCAAUUCCCGGGAACCCCUUGAGCCCGGCUUCUUUGCGCCCUGUGUCGCUGUCAGUUGGCUUCGCCGUUUGUUUGCCAAGCGUUUGAAUGGGUUAGCGAACAAAGCGCCAAAGAAAUUCAAGGUGAGCGCAGGCUUUUACACCUG
Drosophila melanogaster (fruit fly) is the source of this 608-nucleotide non-coding RNA. Lineage: Eukaryota; Metazoa; Arthropoda; Insecta; Diptera; Drosophilidae. The record is from Ensembl.